CCAUCAAGAAACUGCAGCUUCUCCUCCCUUCACUCUGACAGCAAUCCAAAAUGACAGCACUGUUCUAGAAGCUUUUCUCCGUGACACACUUUACAGUGAGCAACAAUUUCUUGUUUAAUAAUUAAAAGCAUUUCCUGGGUAAUCAGAGCAGUCCUCUGGUAUCUGAAAAAAUAACUUUAUUUCAUCAAUGAGAGCACGUGGACAACGUUAAAUCAUCUCUCCAAAGCUUCUCCAAGCCAACCAAAGUCUGAAAUCUCCUGAUGUAAGGAAAUGUCCUUCUCCCACACCUUUCCUAUAGGUAAGAGUAGCUACAGACAGGAGUAGAAACAUCAAGGAAGGCAAAAAAAUGCAAAGAAGCAAGAGACUAAAUAAAAAAUAUCACGGAGAGUAUUUUUAUAUAAUAGAAAAGACUUUUACUGGAGUGGACCUUCUGCCACCCAUCCCUGCGAGAGAAAAACAGGCAACUGCACCAGAUGUGGGUUUGGAAAGAGUGGUAAUUUGUGACACAACACUAAAAUAAAGGUUGUAUAUACACGAUGUUUUAUUGGCAAUGACCUCAUCUGAAUAUUUGCCUAAUGAAGGGGGAUUCACUGGGUUAAUGACGGUGACAGUCACAGCAUCCCAAAGCCAUGCACACCCCUGGGGAUCCCAGCUCUGCUGCUCAGCGUGGCAGCACGGAUGGAAAUCUGUGAAAACAGGCAGCUGUGGAAACCUCAGCUCUGUGCUUGCUGAUUCAUGCAAGGAGGGAAAAGGAACAGAAAUGCGCCAGAAUGGUGAAAACAAAAGGCACCAUCUGGCUCUGAGGAGAGCUGGGCUCAUCCAAACAGCAGCAGGACAGACACCAGCCCUGGGAGACGGAGAGAAACAUUCCAGAUCCCGCAUUCCUGAGCAUUCCUGAGGGAUCAAACCUCCCAACGCCUGCUGCUGACAGCCCAGAGAACCGGGACACCUCCAACGGGGACAGAGCAACACCGGCAGAGCAAAAGGGGAGUCUGGAAAGUGAACUCAAACACUUGAAUGGAUGGUGAAUCAAACACGGAGUGAGGAACACACAGAGCAACUCGGAAUUUGGGCUGAGCCUCACUGCCAAACAAAGUCAGGGCAGCAGUGACUUUAAACCAAACCCAGGUGAUUCUGCAGACAACACUGGGCUACAGAGGCUACUGCAAAUAUAUUGUAUUCAUUUUUUAAUUAAGACUCCAUCAUAGUUUUGUUCUUUUUAAUCAUAAACUUACAUAUUUGUUUUUGUUUUUUUCUCAGAUAACUCAUUUUUCAUUGCUUCACCCAAAUCAAUUCAAAACACCUGAUUAACUGAGCAAGACAAAAAUCUCCAACAGCCCCCUGACAUCAGGAUGAGACAAGUGAGACUCAGAAACAGACAGAGAGUGAUGCUGAGCUGGGCUUCUCCACCAGGUGAUUUGUCCGCCUUUCCCCCAUAAGAAAGCAGAUCUCACAUUAGGAAGGUAAGAUCAGUCUCCCCUGCCCAGGUAUAAAGGGAUUCUGCAAUUUAGAUGCAGUGCAAAUUCAGGUGGUAACAGGUUACUCCCCAUCCUGUCAGCCCUCCCUUGCUGCAAUCUCCAACUUUAUCGAUUCAAUACCACAUUUUCUUCCCCAGCCAACAAUAGAUUCUGCUCUAAAACCACAACCUCCAACAUUUGUGUCCACUUCAGUGGCAUUUCAAAUAGUCUGUCUCUUGCAAUAACACCUCGUUUGUAGCACUCCUCUAACACUCCUGACAUCAAUGGCACAUUUUUGUAUCAGCAUUUAAAACACUUGUAAUAUAACCCAGGAACCCUGGAAUGGUGGAUGUUAACAAAGUACUGCCCACAUUUAUCAAGAAUUCUGGGGGUCAGGGAAUCCAGGCUCUAACACUGAGGCUGCCCUGGGGUUGUUUGUCUUUUCUCCCUUUGUGGUUUGGGACCCCAAGGGAUACAUUUAAUUAAAAGUAUCCUGAGGGUUAUCCUCUGCUUCUCCCCGUGGACUGUGAACCAUCUGCUGAGUGUUAAUUAGGUUGGCAAGCAGUCGAUUAAGCUAAAUUGCCACUUUUCUCUUACUGCAGUCCUGUGUCCCAGACACUCCUCUGUGUGGCUGAGGGAUGACACCUCCCCCAGCAGAGCAUUCCCAGCUAUUAUCAGAGGGCUCAGAUGUCUCAGGGAAGCACAAUUUUAGUAAAAAAAUGACUGGUCAAGACAGCAAAAUUACAGUGAUUUGGGGGUUGUGCCCCCCCCUUCUUUGGAUCACAGUUUCAAGCUCUUCAAAAUAUUAAAUGCUAAUUUUUUUUUUCAAAACGCUGUAAAACAAAGUUUUAAAAGUAAAUUGGGCAAUUCCUACAGCUGACCCCAAAUAUUUGGAGGCUCCUGUGAAACUGGGAGCAUUAGUAAUGCUGUAACAAUCUGCAUUUCACUUCCAAGCAUCUUGUUAAAAACAGAGAGCUCUUUCAAUACACAUUUUAGUCACCUAAAUCAUGUCUUCACUUCUCCCUAGACAUUUUUGGUCAAUUAAACCUCUACCAGGAGCAUGGAGCAAGCCAGAAUUCCAUCGGUUUUACCACAAUCUUUUAUUCAAAGUUUCAUUUUACCACAAUCUUUUAUUCAAAGUUUGGUUUCAUUUGUCUCACCUGAAAGACAAAUAGAAUUAAACAGAUAUGCAACACUGCCUGUGAAAAAUGAAGCAGUUGUCCU
This is a long non-coding RNA of Prinia subflava (tawny-flanked prinia), 2681 nucleotides long. RefSeq lists it as uncharacterized. NCBI's taxonomy places the organism in Eukaryota, Metazoa, Chordata, Aves, Passeriformes, Cisticolidae. The record is from RefSeq and is a predicted model, not a curated record. The transcript is spliced from 2 exons.